RNAcentral lists this ribosomal RNA (239 nucleotides) under uncultured bacterium. RNAcentral describes it as "partial 16S ribosomal RNA". It matches the Rfam family "Bacterial small subunit ribosomal RNA", at positions 791 to 1035 of the family's 1533-position model. The record is from RNAcentral.
UAGUCCCAGCCGUAAACGAUGGGCACUAGGUGUGGGGGAGCAGAUCCUCCGUGCCGCAGCCAACGCAUUAAGUGCCCCGCCUGGGGAGUACGGCCGCAAGGCUAAAACUCAAAGGAAUUGACGGGGGCCCGCACAAGCAGCGGAGCAUGUGGCUUAAUUCGAAGCAACGCGAAGAACCUUACCAGGGCUUGACAUCACCGUGAGCCGGCGGAGACGCCGGGGCCGAAAGGAGCGGUGAC